AUACAUCUACACUAAAGAGCGGCUGUAUCUGGUGGUUUUGGCUAUAUUACUUUUUUGUCUCAUGCAGCACACUGCCUGCAUCUGAGUAACAAACGAUAAAAUACAACAAAC
This is a long non-coding RNA of Sinocyclocheilus anshuiensis, 111 nucleotides long. RefSeq lists it as uncharacterized. The record is from RefSeq and is a predicted model, not a curated record. NCBI's taxonomy places the organism in Eukaryota, Metazoa, Chordata, Actinopteri, Cypriniformes, Cyprinidae. The transcript has 3 exons.